This 253-nucleotide ribosomal RNA is filed under the name uncultured bacterium. RNAcentral describes it as "partial 16S ribosomal RNA". It matches the Rfam family "Bacterial small subunit ribosomal RNA", at positions 524 to 776 of the family's 1533-position model. The record is from RNAcentral.
GACGAACCGUCCAACCGUUGUUCGGAAUCACUGGGCUUAAAGGGCGCGUAGGCGGGCUGCCAAGUCAGGGGUGAAAUCCCACGGCUCAACCGUGGAAGUGCCUCUGAUACUGGCGGCCUCGAGGGAGGUAGGGGCGUGCGGAACUUCCGGUGGAGCGGUGAAAUGCGUAGAUAUCGGAAGGAACACCGGUGGCGAAAGCGGCGCGCUGGACCUCUACUGACGCUGAGGCACGAAAGCGUGGGGAGCAAACAGG